This is a long non-coding RNA of Thalassophryne amazonica, 287 nucleotides long. RefSeq lists it as uncharacterized. The record is from RefSeq and is a predicted model, not a curated record. Lineage: Eukaryota; Metazoa; Chordata; Actinopteri; Batrachoidiformes; Batrachoididae. The transcript is spliced from 4 exons.
UGUUGUUAUGGAUUAAGCUCCUUAUUUAAUUUAAGUAUCGACUGAUGCACAAAAGAAUGUUUCAGUCUGACCUUAUUAUACCAUGGAACACUGUAUCAACGUCCAGAUGGAAAAAGGACAUAUUCACUGCUUGGAACAUGGUUAGUCUCAGAGAUGAUGUUUUUGCCAGCCUUAUUGUGUUGUUGUGAUAAGAGGUCUCAUACAGACCCUCUAAAGGCUGACCAACAAUUUUUGAACAGAUUUUUAACAAUAUUAUAAUGUUCAUUUUUUAAAUGAACAAAAACGUG